UACGUAGGGGGCGAGCGUUGUCCGGAAUCAUUGGGCGUAAAGCGCGUGUAGGCGGCCCGGUAAGUCCGCUGUGAAAGUCCAGGGCUCAACCCUGGGAUGCCGGUGGAUACUGUCGGGCUCGAGUCCGGAAGAGGCGAGUGGAAUUCCUGGUGUAGCGGUGAAAUGUGUAGAGAUCGGGAGGAACACCGGUGGCGAAGGCGGGUCUCUGGGCAAUUCCUGACGCUGAGGCGCGAAAGCGUGGGGAGCAAACGGG
RNAcentral lists this ribosomal RNA (253 nucleotides) under uncultured bacterium. RNAcentral's name for it is "partial 16S ribosomal RNA". It matches the Rfam family "Bacterial small subunit ribosomal RNA", at positions 524 to 776 of the family's 1533-position model. The record is from RNAcentral.